Long non-coding RNA from Hypanus sabinus (Atlantic stingray), 1305 nucleotides. RefSeq lists it as uncharacterized. The transcript is spliced from 4 exons. Lineage: Eukaryota; Metazoa; Chordata; Chondrichthyes; Myliobatiformes; Dasyatidae. The record is from RefSeq and is a predicted model, not a curated record.
AUCGCUCAGGAGUAGGUAAAACUCCACAGCGAUCGAAUCUUGAGGGCUGGAAGGGACAAUUUAAAAAAGUAUCAUUGUGGUGAACUAUGUGCCUGUCUGGACACGCCCCUCUGCUGACUGCUCCUGUGGCUCCUCCCACAGGCCCCUGUAUAAAGGAGAUCUGAGGCCUGACGCUCAGGACAUAAUAUGAUGGACACUCACUCCUGGUUCCUUCUUCCAGUCAAUAAAAGCCGAUAUCUCGCCUUACGUCUCAGUAAGCUACAGAAUGUAACAUUCAGCUCUGCAGCGGGUUGGGCAGAGCUUCGUCUUCUCAGCUUGGGCACCAGCAUCCUCACGGGAAGGUUUGCUCGUUUAAAAGUGUCAAGGAGACUAACGAGAACUUUCUUAUUGUGGCUUCUUUCCUCGUCCUCUCCAGUCCUGAUGAAGUAUCUCGGUGCAAAACGUCGACUGCUUAUUCCACUCCAUAGAUGUGGACUGACCUGCUGAGUUCCUCCAGCAUUUCGUUUUUAGGACAUACGUGAAGAUCGGAUCAUAUUUUGGGUCAUAUUUUAUGCAGAAAUAGAGAAAGUUCUACAGGGUUCACAAACUUUCUACAAACCACUGUAGCCUCCUCCCUGAUGGAAGUGGAACAAACAAUCCAUAAGCAGGGUAGGUGAGAUCCUACAUGACGUUACCUUUCUGUAUACAUGUCUUUGAUAGUGGGUAGGCUGGUGCCCAUUAUGUGUUGGGUAGUUUUGACCACCCGUUGUAGACCCUUCCUGUCCUCUGCAGUGCAGUUCUUGUACCAUGAAGUGAUGCAGCAACUUGGGAUGCCCUCUUCUGCACAUCUGUAGAAUGACAUGAGUAUACAGCAGACAUGCAAAGACAAGUUGUCUUCAGCCUCCUCAGAAAAUAGGUCUUUCCUAAUUGUGUAGGAUGUUUUCAGUGUCCAACUACAACAAGAAUGUCCUGACCUCACUGGGGUAUGAGGCUCACUGGCUAUCCUCACCUCGUUUUGCUCACCCGUCAAAAUGGCGUACAGAGGUGCAGCCUCUUUCAUCUUUGAACAGCUACUUGGAGCCACAGGUGAGAACUGAGUGUCUGAUGGGGACCAAAGGUGAGUGGCUGCUCUGGAAUGGAUACACAAGCCUCUUUACCAGAGGUGCUAGAUACCACGUACACCCUAGAAGAGGUAUAUAUCCUUACAGACAAAAAGACCUGUGUACAUGUGUGGAUGUGAUAUCAUGUACUGAGAUAUCAUGUGAUGUGAUAGAACAGGACCACCACAGGGAUAUGUGCUUAGCCCCCUGCUCUACUCGAUUUACA